Gracilinanus agilis (Agile Gracile Mouse Opossum) is the source of this 105-nucleotide small nuclear RNA. NCBI's taxonomy places the organism in Eukaryota, Metazoa, Chordata, Mammalia, Didelphimorphia, Didelphidae. The record is from RefSeq and is a predicted model, not a curated record.
GAGCACUUGCUUUGGUUGCACCCAUACUAAAUUUGGUAUAAGAGAAGAUUGGCUUGGUUCCUGCAUGAGGAUGACAUAUACAUUCAUGAAACAUUUUGUAUUUUC